CCGCGGGGCAGCAAGGCCCCUCCGCGGGCGCGUGGCCCCGGGGCUCGGGCCUGGCUCUUCUCAAAGACGCCCCCGGCCGUGUCUGGCGUGAGCGGAGCGGCUCGCGGCGRGCGUUGCGCCGCAGAGAGACAGGAAAACUAAGAAGUCUUGGAAAUGGCCAUGGAGCUCAUAUUUAACUUGCAAAAAGCCGUGUGCAGCCUUCCUGAGACAUUUCUUGGCUUGAAAACGGUGCCACAGCUGCAGCUGCAUGAAUCCAUGGCAACRGGAGGGCCGAGCAGCCCCGCUUCCCCGACCCCACGCCAGCAGAGUGGAGAUGAGCGUGUCCUUCAGCCCCCCAGUGCCCAGCGGGUGCCACACGCCGCUGGCAGGAUGCUGCCACUUGAAAGCCCUGGUGCUGGAGCCAGGCUUGUACUGUGAACCGAGCCACAAGCAUGUCAUAUACACCCAACAUGAGAAGGUGAAUGAAAUGAAAGUUACAGCUGUAGUAAAGGUAUCAUGUGUAUAGGAGGGUUGAUAAGAUAAUGGGAGUUCUUUUAUGGCUUGUUUCCUGGCCUUGAUCACUUGAUAUGCAUCAAGAUUGCAAAAGAGUUAAUGGCCUCUGUGCCAUUGC
This 610-nucleotide long non-coding RNA is filed under the name Dromaius novaehollandiae (emu). RNAcentral's name for it is "lncRNA (ENSDNVG00000015546.1)". The record is from RNAcentral. Lineage: Eukaryota; Metazoa; Chordata; Aves; Casuariiformes; Dromaiidae.